UCCGGUUUGUCACCGGCAGUCUCGCAUGAGUCCCCAACUGAAUGGUGGCAACUAAGGACGAGGGUUGCGCUCGUUGCGGGACUUAACCCAACACCUCAUGGCACGAGCUGACGACAGCCAUGCAGCACCUGAACCAGCGGUCCCCGAAGGGAAAGUCCUAUUUCUAGGAAGGUCCGCUGUUGUCUAGUCCAGGUAAGGUUCUUCGCGUUGCGUCGAAUUGAACCACAUGCUCCACCGCUUGUGCGGGCCCCCGUCAAUUCCUUUGAGUUUCAGCCUUGCGGCCGUACUCCCCAGGCGGGGCACUUAAUGCGUUAGCGCCGGCACCCAGGGGGUCGCUCCCCCAGGCACCUAGUGCCCAUCGUUUACGGCGUGGACUAC
RNAcentral lists this unclassified non-coding RNA (378 nucleotides) under uncultured bacterium. RNAcentral describes it as "contains 16S-23S intergenic spacer region". The record is from RNAcentral.